This 200-nucleotide ribosomal RNA is filed under the name uncultured eukaryote. RNAcentral describes it as "partial 18S ribosomal RNA". It matches the Rfam family "Eukaryotic small subunit ribosomal RNA", at positions 773 to 983 of the family's 1831-position model. The record is from RNAcentral.
GCUCCAAGAGUGUAUAUUAAAGUUGUUGCAUGACGCUGUAUGACUACGAGUCUUUUUUGAAUGGUUUCGGGACACGUGGUAAUGAUUGAUAUGAGGUGUUGGGGAUACUCAUAUUUGACAGUUAGAGGUGAAAUUCUUGGAUUUGUCAAAGAUGAACAAAUGCAAUAGCAUUUAUCAUGGAUGUUUCAUUUGAUCAAGAA